Molecule: ribosomal RNA, 460 nt
Filed under: uncultured bacterium
Lineage: Bacteria
Description: partial 16S ribosomal RNA
Rfam family: Bacterial small subunit ribosomal RNA
Source: RNAcentral
CCUACGGGUGGCAGCAGUGAGGAAUAUUGGUCAAUGGGCGCGAGCCUGAACCAGCCAAGUAGCGUGAAGGAUGACUGCCCUACGGGUUGUAAACUUCUUUUAUAAAGGAAUAAAGUGAGGCACGUGUGCCUUUUUGUAUGUACUUUAUGAAUAAGGAUCGGCUAACUCCGUGCCAGCAGACGCGGUAAUACGGAGGAUCCGAGCGUUAUCCGGAUUUAUUGGGUUUAAAGGGAGCGGAGAGGGGUGUGUAAGUCAGUUGUGAAAGUUUGCGGCCCAACCGUAAAAUUGCAAUUGAUACUGGCAGUCUUGAGUACAGUUGAGGUAGGCGGAAUGCGUGGUGUAGCGGUGAAAUGCUUAGAUAUCACGAAGAACUCCGAUUGCGAAGGCAGCUUACUAAACUGCCACUGACAUUGAUGCUCGAAAGUGUGGGUAUCAAACAGGAUUAGAUACCCUUGUAGUC